AGUUCGAUUCUGGCUCGUGAUUGAACGCUGGCGGGAUGCUUUACACAUGCAAGUCGAACGGCAGCACGACCGGUCUGGUGGCGAGUGGCGAACGGGUGAGUAAUGUAUCGGAACGUGCCUAGUAGCGGGAUAACUACGCGAAAGCGUAGCUAAUACCGCAUACGCCCUUCGGGGGAGCGGGGACCUUCGCCCGCACUAUUAGAAAGCGGCCGAUAUCGGAUUAGCUAGUUGGUGGGGCAAUUACCAAGGCGACGAUCCGUAGCUGGUUUGAGAGGACGACCAGCCACACUGGGACUGGAGACACGGCCCAGACUCCUACGGGAGGCAGCAGUGGGGAAUUUUGGACAAUGGGGGAACCCUGAUCCAGCCAUCCCGCGUGUGCGAUGAAGGCCUUCGGGUUGUGCUAAUUUUUGGCAGGAAAGAAACGGCACGGGAUAAUACCCCGUGCAACUGACGGUACCUGCAGAAUAAGCACCGGCUAACCACAGCCAGCAGCCGCGGUAAUACGUAGGGUGCAAGCGUUAAUCGGAAUUACUGGGCGUAAAGCGUGCGCAGGCGGUUCGGAAAGAAAGAUGUGAACCGUAGAGCUUUAACUUUGGAAACUGCAUUUUUAACUACCGAGCUAGAUGUCAGAGAGGUGGAACGCGUGUAGCAGUGAAAUGCGUAGAUAUGUGGAGGAACACCGAUGGCGAAGGCAGCCUCCUGGGAUAACACUGACGCUCAUGCACGAAAGCGUGGGGAGCAAACAGGAUUAGAUACCCUGGUAGUCCACGCCCUAAACGAUGUCAACUAGUUGGGGCCUUUCUGCUCGGUAGCGCAGCGCUAACGCGUGAAGCUGACCGCCUGGGGAGUACGGUCGCAAGAUUAAAACUCAAAGGAAUUGACGGGGACCCGCACAAGCGGUGGAUGAUGUGGAUUAAUUCGAUGCAACGCGAAAACCUUACCUACCCUGACAUGUCUGGAAUCCCGGAAGAGAUUUGGGAGUGCUCGCAAGAGAACCGGAACACAGGUGCUGCAUGGCUGUCGUCACCGUGUCGUAGAUGCUGGGUUAAGUCCGCAACGAGCGCAACCCUUUGUCAUUAGUUGCUACGAAAGGACUCUUAAUGAGACUGCCGGUGACAAACCGGAGGAAGGUGGGAUGACGUCAAGUCCUCAUGGCCCUGGCGGUAGGGCUUCACACGUCAUACAAUGGUCGGGACAGGGGGUCGCCAACCGGCGAGGGGGAGCCGCUAAUCCCAGAAACCCGAUCGUAGUCCGGAUCGCAGUUCGCAACUCGACUGCGUGAAGUCGGAAUCGCUAGUAAUCGCGGAUCAGCAUGUCGCGGUGAAUACGUUCCCGGGUCUUGUACACACCGCCCGUCGCACCAUGGGAGUGGGUUUUACCAGAAGUAGUUAGCCUUAACCGUAAGGAGGGCGAUUACCACGGUAGGAUUCAUGACUGGGGUGAAGUCGUAACAAGGUAG
RNAcentral lists this ribosomal RNA (1462 nucleotides) under uncultured Bordetella sp. RNAcentral describes it as "partial 16S-23S ribosomal RNA intergenic spacer". It matches the Rfam family "Bacterial small subunit ribosomal RNA". Lineage: Bacteria; Pseudomonadati; Pseudomonadota; Betaproteobacteria; Burkholderiales; Alcaligenaceae. The record is from RNAcentral.